AUUGAACGCUGGCGGCAGGCCUAACACAUGCAAGUCGAGCGGUAGAGAGAAGCUUGCUUCUCUUGAGAGCGGCGGACGGGUGAGUAAUGCCUAGGAAUCUGCCUGGUAGUGGGGGAUAACGUUCGGAAACGGACGCUAAUACCGCAUACGUCCUACGGGAGAAAGCAGGGGACCUUCGGGCCUUGCGCUAUCAGAUGAGCCUAGGUCGGAUUAGCUAGUUGGGGGGGUAAUGGCUCACCAAGGCGACGAUCCGUAACUGGUCUGAGAGGAUGAUCAGUCACACUGGAACUGAGACACGGUCCAGACUCCUACGGGAGGCAGCAGUGGGGAAUAUUGGACAAUGGGCGAAAGCCUAAUCCAGCCAUGCCGCGUGUGUGAAGAAGGUCUUCGGAUUGUAAAGCACUUUAAGUUGGGAGGAAGGGCAGUAAAUUAAUACUUUGCUGUUUUGACGUUACCGACAGAAUAAGCACCGGCUAACUCUGUGCCAGCAGCCGCAGUAA
RNAcentral lists this ribosomal RNA (500 nucleotides) under uncultured bacterium. Its description in RNAcentral is "partial 16S ribosomal RNA". It matches the Rfam family "Bacterial small subunit ribosomal RNA", at positions 30 to 523 of the family's 1533-position model. The record is from RNAcentral.